UACGUAGGGUGCGAGCGUUAAUCGGAAUUACUGGGCGUAAAGGGUGCGCAGGCUGUCCCGCAAGUCAGGCGUGAAAUCCCCGGGCUUAACCUGGGAACUGCAUUUGUGACUGCAUAGCUGGAGUGCGGCAGAGGGGGAUGGAACUCCGCGUGUAGCAGUGAAAUGCGUAGAUAUGCGGAGGAACACCGAUGGCGAAGGCAAUCCCCUGGGCCUGCACUGACGCUCAUGCACGAAAGCGUGGGGAGCAAACAGG
Molecule: ribosomal RNA, 253 nt
Filed under: uncultured bacterium
Lineage: Bacteria
Description: partial 16S ribosomal RNA
Rfam family: Bacterial small subunit ribosomal RNA
Source: RNAcentral